UUACAUGAGGGGUGCUAAAAUUGGCUGAGAUUAUACCCUUUAGUCUUAAACCUGAUCUAGAUAAUGCUAGCGUAGGGAUUUCUUAUUCUAA
Molecule: non-coding RNA, 91 nt
Filed under: Anaerococcus nagyae
Lineage: Bacteria; Bacillati; Bacillota; Tissierellia; Tissierellales; Peptoniphilaceae
Source: RNAcentral